RNAcentral lists this ribosomal RNA (501 nucleotides) under uncultured bacterium. RNAcentral's name for it is "partial 16S ribosomal RNA". It matches the Rfam family "Bacterial small subunit ribosomal RNA", at positions 30 to 523 of the family's 1533-position model. The record is from RNAcentral.
AUUGAACGCUGGCGGCAGGCUUAACACAUGCAAGUCGAGCGGAGAGAGGUAGCUUGCUACUGAUCUUAGCGGCGGACGGGUGAGUAAUGCUUAGGAAUCUGCCUAUUAGUGGGGGACAACAUUUCGAAAGGAAUGCUAAUACCGCAUACGUCCUACGGGAGAAAGCAGGGGAUCUUCGGACCUUGCGCUAAUAGAUGAGCCUAAGUCGGAUUAGCUAGUUGGUGGGGUAAAGGCCUACCAAGGCGACGAUCUGUAGCGGGUCUGAGAGGAUGAUCCGCCACACUGGAACUGAGACACGGCCCAGACUCCUACGGGAGGCAGCAGUGGGGAAUAUUGGACAAUGGGCGGAAGCCUGAUCCAGCCAUGCCGCGUGCGUGAAGAAGGCCUUAUGGUUGUAAAGCACUUUAAGCGAGGAGGAGGCUACUUUAGUUAAUACCUAGAGAUAGUGGACGUUACUCGCAGAAUAAGCACCGGCUAACUCUGUGCCAGCCGCCGCCGUAA